Molecule: ribosomal RNA, 437 nt
Filed under: Wolbachia endosymbiont of Clethrobius dryobius
Lineage: Bacteria; Pseudomonadati; Pseudomonadota; Alphaproteobacteria; Rickettsiales; Anaplasmataceae
Description: bacterial SSU rRNA
Rfam family: Bacterial small subunit ribosomal RNA
Source: RNAcentral
CAUACCUAUUCGAAGGGAUAGGGUCGGUUUGGCCGGAUUUCACACAGGUGUUGCAUGGUUGUCGUCAGCUCGUGUCGUGAGAUGUUGGGUUAAGUCCCGCAACGAGCGCAACCCUCAUCCUUAGUUACCAUCAGGUUAUGCUGGGGACUUUAAGGAAACUGCCAGUGAUAAACUGGAGGAAGGUGGGGAUGAUGUCAAGUCAUCAUGGCCCUUAUGGAGUGGGCUACACACGUGCUACAAUGGUGAUUACAAUGGGCUGCAAGGUCGCAAGGCUGAGCUAAUCCUAAAAAAUCAUCUCAGUUCGGAUUGUUCUCUGCAACUCGAGAGCAUGAAGUUGGAAUCGCUAGUAAUCGUGGAUCAGCAUGCCACGGUGAAUACGUUCUCGGGUCUUGUACACACUGCCCGUCACGCCAUGGGAAUUGGUUUCACUCGAAGCU